AUUGAACGCUGGCGGCAUGCUUUACACAUGCAAGUCGAACGGCAGCGCGGGCUUCGGCCUGGCGGCGAGUGGCGAACGGGUGAGUAAUACAUCGGAACGUGCCCAGUAGUGGGGGAUAGCUCGGCGAAAGCCGGAUUAAUACCGCAUACGACCUGAGGGUGAAAGCGGGGGAUCUUCGGACCUCGCGCUAUUGGAGCGGCCGACGGCAGAUUAGCUAGUUGGUGGGGUAAAGGCCUACCAAGGCGACGAUCUGUAGCUGGUCUGAGAGGACGACCAGCCACACUGGGACUGAGACACGGCCCAGACUCCUACGGGAGGCAGCAGUGGGGAAUUUUGGACAAUGGGCGAAAGCCUGAUCCAGCAAUGCCGCGUGUGUGAUGAAGGCCUUCGGGUUGUAAAGCACUUUUGGCGGGAACGAAAAGGACUGUGCCAAUACCACGGUUCGAUGACGGUACCUGCAGAAUAAGCACCGGCUAACUACGUG
RNAcentral lists this ribosomal RNA (484 nucleotides) under uncultured bacterium. Its description in RNAcentral is "partial 16S ribosomal RNA". It matches the Rfam family "Bacterial small subunit ribosomal RNA", at positions 29 to 507 of the family's 1533-position model. The record is from RNAcentral.